GAGUUUGAUCGUGGCUCAGGAUGAACGCUGGCGGCGUGCUUAACACAUGCAAGUCGAACGAAGCGCCUUAUUUGAUUUUCUUCGGAACUGAAGAUUUGGUGACUGAGUGGCGGACGGGUGAGUAACGCGUGGGUAACCUGCCCUGUACAGGGGGAUAACAAUCAGAAAUGACUGCUAAUACCGCAUAAGACCACAGCACCGCAUGGUGCAGGGGUAAAAACUCCGGUGGUACAGGAUGGACCCGCGUCUGAUUAGCUGGUUGGUGAGGUAACGGCUCACCAAGGCGACGAUCAGUAGCCGGCUUGAGAGAGUGAACGGCCACAUUGGGACUGAGACACGGCCCAAACUCCUACGGGAGGCAGCAGUGGGGAAUAUUGCACAAUGGGGGAAACCCUGAUGCAGCAACGCCGCGUGAGUGAAGAAGUAUUCGGUAUGUAAAGCUCUAUCAGCAGGGAAGAAAGUGACGGUACCUGACUAAGAAGCCCGGCUAACUACGUGCCAGCCG
RNAcentral lists this ribosomal RNA (505 nucleotides) under uncultured microorganism. RNAcentral describes it as "bacterial SSU rRNA". It matches the Rfam family "Bacterial small subunit ribosomal RNA", at positions 9 to 514 of the family's 1533-position model. The record is from RNAcentral.